This is a non-coding RNA of Paramuricea clavata, 204 nucleotides long. The record is from the annotation of a GenBank genome assembly. NCBI's taxonomy places the organism in Eukaryota, Metazoa, Cnidaria, Anthozoa, Malacalcyonacea, Plexauridae.
CUCGGCAAACGCAAGCUUACUAUUGGUGUAUAUAUGUAUAUGAACUUGAAUUACAGAAGCGAAACGCUUGAAAAUAUGAAAAAUUGCUAAUACAAAACCAUGUGCUUGACAGUCGACACGAUAUAUACCAUUACAAUUUCACACUCAAAACGUCCAGAUUUCAUUGUUCCGAUCUAAUGCAACGUAUAACAAACGUUCAAAUAU